RNAcentral lists this ribosomal RNA (424 nucleotides) under uncultured bacterium. Its description in RNAcentral is "partial 16S ribosomal RNA". It matches the Rfam family "Bacterial small subunit ribosomal RNA", at positions 360 to 776 of the family's 1533-position model. The record is from RNAcentral.
AAUUUUGGACAAUGGGGGAAACCCUGAUCCAGCCAUCCCGCGUGUAUGGUGAAGGUCUUCGGGUGGUAAAGCACUUUUGUCCGAGAUGAAAAGGUAGCCCCUGAUACGGGAUACUGCUGACGGUUUCUGCAGAAUAACCACCGGCUAACUGAGUGCCAGCAGCCGCGGUAAGACGUAGGGUUCAAGCGUUCAUCGGAAUUACUGGGCGUAAAGCGUGUGGAGGCGGUGCGGAAAGAAAGAUGUGAAAUCCCAGGGCCAAACCUUGGAACUGCAUUUUUAACUGCCGAGCUAGAGUAUGUCAGAGGGGAGUAGAAUUCCACGUGUAGCAGUGAAAUGCGUAGAUAUGUGGAGGAAUACCGAUGGCGAAGGCAGCCCCCUGGGAUAAUACUGACGCUCAGACACGAAAGCAUGGGGAGCAAACAGG